CGUAGGGCGCGAGCGUUGUCCGGAUUUAUUGGGCGUAAAGAGCUCGUAGGCGGCUUGUCGCGUCGACUGUGAAAACCCGUGGCUCAACCAUGUGGUCUGCAGUCGAUACGGGCAGGCUAGAAUUCGGUAGGGGAGACUGGAAUUCCUGGUGUAGCGGUGAAAUGCGCAGAUAUCAGGAGGAACACCGGUGGCGAAGGCGGGUCUCUGGGCCGAUAUUGACGCUGAGGAGCGAAAGCGUGGGGAGCGAACAGGAUUAGAUACCCUGGUAGUCCACGCUGUAAACGUUGGGCGCUAGGUGUGGGGGGCCUCUCCGGUUCUCUGUGCCGCAGCUAACGCAUUAAGCGCCCCGCCUGGGGAGUACGGCCGCAAGGCUA
This 374-nucleotide ribosomal RNA is filed under the name uncultured organism. Its description in RNAcentral is "bacterial SSU rRNA". It matches the Rfam family "Bacterial small subunit ribosomal RNA", at positions 526 to 896 of the family's 1533-position model. The record is from RNAcentral.